RNAcentral lists this unclassified non-coding RNA (484 nucleotides) under Microcystis aeruginosa. RNAcentral's name for it is "partial miscellaneous RNA". The stretch from base 1 to 100 matches the Rfam family "Bacterial small subunit ribosomal RNA", at positions 1434 to 1533 of the family's 1533-position model. Lineage: Bacteria; Bacillati; Cyanobacteriota; Cyanophyceae; Chroococcales; Microcystaceae. The record is from RNAcentral. RNAcentral also lists the same sequence under 1 other name.
CUCAACCGCAAGGAGGGGGAUGCCUAAGGCAGGGCUAGUGACUGGGGUGAAGUCGUAACAAGGUAGCCGUACCGGAAGGUGUGGCUGGAUCACCUCCUUAAAGGGAGACCUAAUUCGGGUAUGGGACGAAAAAAAAGUAGUCGCUACCAAGAAUCAAUCCCAAAAGGUCGGAGCGAGGCGAAAUUGGCUUUCAAACUAGGUUCUGGGUUCACACAAGACCUGAAUCAGGAACAAGGGCUAUUAGCUCAGGUGGUUAGAGCGCACCCCUGAUAAGGGUGAGGUCCCUGGUUCGAGUCCAGGAUGGCCCACCUGUACAGGUGGCAAAAACAAAGAAGCGAGGAAUCAGCACCUUAUCUUAUUUAUAUAGUAAGAGAGAAUGCUGGCUCUGAGUUCAGAGUCCAGAGGAACCUUGAAAACUGCAUAGAGCUAGGUGAAAAAGCCAAAAAAGAAGACCGCAAGGUCAAGCUAAUAAGGGCUAACGGUG